CAAUAUAUUGUGUCUUUUUAAAUGUAUGAUGUAUAUUUUUAAUUACAAUUUUGAAUAACAAUCAUGUAUAUUAAAUUAAUUCUGUUGACCUUUGCAGAACUAUGCUGACGGCUCUCAGUACAGUCACAUGACCGGUCGGGACCUGGGGUCACAUGACAGCAUCUCUCCACCCUAUUCUAAUGCCAGGCUAGCAGGUAAAUCGGAGCGAGUGUCGUAUUCAUAUGGAAGAGACUCCAGCAUUCACUGUCAGGUAAGAGACUCUACACUAAAGAAUAAGUGUUUUAUCUCAGAUGUUUGUCAUUUGGACAAAAAGAGUCAGAAGUCAUCCUGCAGUGAGAGUUUGACAGUUUUUUAUGAUGAGAAAUAUUGAAAUCUGUGACUUUGGAUUGGAAGUUUGUGUUUUGCCAGAUCUGAGAACAGUUUUCAAUAGUAUCUGGAUGCAGCCUUUAUGAUGCACUGUGAGACUGCAUCACUAAGCGAUUCAAUGUCAGACACAAUGCACUCAGUGGAGUGAAUAGGGGUGGGGUUAGGUGACCGCAUUAAAAAGCAUCGGUUGCAGCUCAGAUUGCACUGCACCAGGUCUGCAUCCAGACCCCUCUCAUAGUUUUAGACAUCUUUUUAUUCUUUAAAACAAACCCAGAGGAAAUGUAUGAGAUUGCUGCACGAAAAAAUCUGAAAAUGAUUGUGCUUCUUGUUCAAACUACACUGCAACUGAUAUCUUGUCUUGUUUCUAGUCCAAAUAUCUACAAAUUCCUAAAUCAAGAAGCAUUUUCUAGACAUGCAAAACACAUUGUCUUUUUUUAGGAAAUAAAAUGUCAAAAAUGAAGUGAGUCGUUUCUUGAGGAAAGCAAAAUAAUCUUGUUUUUCCUUGUUUAUUUUGACAAUAAAAUUGCUUGUCCUAAAAAUGCUCCUUGAUUUAGGAAUUUGUAGAUAUUAGAAACAAGACAAAACAAUCUAAGUAAGAUUAGCAUUUUUGCAGUGUACUUGUUUAAAAUAUGCUGAAACAAUAUAAUUCUUGAGUUUUUUAUUGGGGCAACUUAAUUAUAAGAUGUUCAAUCCACUUAAAUCUGCUAAGUAAGCUAAAAAAUCUCAGUAUUUUAUUGGAGAAGAUCUGGAAAUGUCAUUUUUACUGAUUCCUGUGGGACUAAACAGGUUAUUAAAGGGCAU
This 1167-nucleotide long non-coding RNA is filed under the name Danio rerio (zebrafish). RNAcentral describes it as "lncRNA (ENSDARG00000117547.1)". The record is from RNAcentral. Lineage: Eukaryota; Metazoa; Chordata; Actinopteri; Cypriniformes; Danionidae.